RNAcentral lists this long non-coding RNA (663 nucleotides) under Gallus gallus (chicken). RNAcentral's name for it is "long non-coding RNA NONGGAT002232". Lineage: Eukaryota; Metazoa; Chordata; Aves; Galliformes; Phasianidae. The record is from RNAcentral.
AAUUCCUGAACUUGUUGAGGGACAGAAACUGCUCUGGAGAAGUCAACAAGAGAGGAGAGGAAGCAGACUAAUUGGGUAGACAGGAAACCAAGCCAAGGAAAGUGAGGUGGAUUUUCAUCUGCCAGGCUGCAGAACUAUGGGCAGAGGCAGAGCUCAGCAGCUGUAGCCCUUACUCCUCCUCUCCCUCCUGCCUUCCUUUCUGUAGAAGUGGGCCUGGAUAUACCAGCGCGUGCGGUGCGGCAGACAAGAAGAUAAUUUUGGGCUGCAUAUUUGGAAGCACCACAUCACAAGCAAAUGAAAAUGCAUCAUCACAACACCGAAUUAAGAGUGAAGGAAAACACUGUCGGUAAGAUGCUGGAUAGACUGAAGAUAUUCAAGGUUGACGGACCAGAGCCUCUUGCAUCCAUACCUGUGACAGAUGAAAAAGGAGCUGCAUUCAGUCAAAAGGCUCAAGCAAGAGCAACAUCGGCUUCUCUUCUGGUCUUACAUCCUGUGCACACACCUGGCAGAGUUCUGCAAACUUGACAAGCAGUAGAGAAACCUGAGAAUGUUGUGAGAGACAAAGCAUGCAAUUUGGAACUGUACACUGGAUUCCUCUUGUUUGGCUACCUCCUCUGAAACCAGGUAAGCUUUCAGCAUUUAUUUCUUGCCACUACAUCCCAG